GAUGAACGCUGGCGGCGUGCUUAACACAUGCAAGUCGAACGGGAUCCCAGGAGCUUGCUCCUGGGUGAGAGUGGCGAACGGGUGAGUAAUGCGUGACCGACCUGCCCCAUACACCGGAAUAGCUCCUGGAAACGGGUGGUAAUGCCGGAUGCUCCAGUUGACCGCAUGGUCCUCUGGGAAAGCUUUUGCGGUAUGGGAUGGGGUCGCGUCCUAUCAGCUUGAUGGCGGGGUAACGGCCCACCAUGGCUUCGACGGGUAGCCGGCCUGAGAGGGCGACCGGCCACAUUGGGACUGAGAUACGGCCCAGACUCCUACGGGAGGCAGCAGUGGGGAAUAUUGCACAAUGGGCGCAAGCCUGAUGCAGCGACGCCGCGUGCGGGAUGACGGCCUUCGGGUUGUAAACCGCUUUUGACUGGGAGCAAGCCCUUCGGGGUGAGUGUAC
RNAcentral lists this ribosomal RNA (442 nucleotides) under uncultured bacterium. Its description in RNAcentral is "bacterial SSU rRNA". It matches the Rfam family "Bacterial small subunit ribosomal RNA", at positions 28 to 478 of the family's 1533-position model. The record is from RNAcentral.